This is a non-coding RNA of Leptodontidium sp. MPI-SDFR-AT-0119, 97 nucleotides long. The record is from the annotation of a GenBank genome assembly. NCBI's taxonomy places the organism in Eukaryota, Fungi, Ascomycota, Leotiomycetes, Helotiales, Leptodontidiaceae.
GCAACGAUAGAUUAAUGGUAAAAUCCAUCGUUGUUAUUGAUCAUUAAUUUAAUCAAUCAGACUCGAUGGGCCCCGGGUUCGAUUCCCGGCGAACGCA